RNAcentral lists this ribosomal RNA (807 nucleotides) under Shearia formosa. RNAcentral describes it as "SSU rRNA". It matches the Rfam family "Eukaryotic small subunit ribosomal RNA", at positions 92 to 910 of the family's 1831-position model. The record is from RNAcentral. Lineage: Eukaryota; Fungi; Ascomycota; Dothideomycetes; Pleosporales; Longiostiolaceae.
AAUGGCUCAUUAAAUCAGUUAUCGUUUAUUUGAUAGUACUUUACUACUUGGAUAACCGUGGUAAUUCUAGAGCUAAUACAUGCUGAAAACCCCAACUUCGGAAGGGGUGUAUUUAUUAGAUAAAAAACCAAUGCCUUUCGGGGCUCUUUGGUGAUUCAUGAUAACUUUUCAGAUCGCAUGGCCUUGCGCCGGCGACGGUUCAUUCAAAUUUCUGCCCUAUCAACUUUCGAUGGUAAGGUAUUGGCUUACCAUGGUUUCAACGGGUAACGGGGAAUUAGGGUUCGAUUCCGGAGAGGGAGCCUGAGAAACGGCUACCACAUCCAAGGAAGGCAGCAGGCGCGCAAAUUACCCAAUCCCGACACGGGGAGGUAGUGACAAUAAAUACUGAUACAGGGCUCUUUUGGGUCUUGUAAUUGGAAUGAGUACAAUUUAAACCUCUUAACGAGGAACAAUUGGAGGGCAAGUCUGGUGCCAGCAGCCGCGGUAAUUCCAGCUCCAAUAGCGUAUAUUAAAGUUGUUGCAGUUAAAAAGCUCGUAGUUGAACCUUGGGCCUGGCUGGCAGGUCCGCCUCACCGCGAGUACUUGUCCGGCCGGGCCUUUUUUCUGGAGAACCUCAUGCCCUUCACUGGGUGUGCUGGGGACCAGAACUUUUACUUUGAAAAAAUUAGAGUGUUCAAAGCAGGCCUUUGCUCGAAUACGUUAGCAUGGAAUAAUAGAAUAGGACGUGCGGUCCUAUUUUGUUGGUUUCUAGGACCGCCGUAAUGAUUAAUAGGGACAGUCGGGGGCAUCAGUAUUCAAUUGUCAGAG